UACGUAGGUCCCGAGUGUUGUCCGGAUUUAUUGGGCGUAAAGCGAGCGCAGGUGGUUUAAUAAGUCUGAUGUAAAAGGCAGUGGCUCAACCAUUGUGUGCAUUGGAAACUGUUAGACUUGAGUGCAGUAGAGGAGAGUGGAAUUCCAUGUGUAGCGGUGAAAUGCGUAGAUAUAUGGAGGAACACCGGUGGCGAAAGCGGCUCUCUGGACUGUAACUGACACUGAGGCUCGAAAGCGUGGGUAGCAAACAGG
Molecule: ribosomal RNA, 252 nt
Filed under: uncultured microorganism
Description: partial 16S ribosomal RNA
Rfam family: Bacterial small subunit ribosomal RNA
Source: RNAcentral